UGCCAGCAGCCGCGGUAAUACGGAGGGGGUGAGCGUUGUUCGGAGUUACUGGGCGUAAAGCGCGCGUAGGCGGACUAGUCAGCCAGAGGUGAAAUCCCAGGGCUCAACCCUGGAACUGCCUUUGAUACUGCUAGUCUUGAGUUCGAGAGAGGUAAGUGGAAUUCCGAGUGUAGAGGUGAAAUUCGUAGAUAUUCGGAGGAACACCAGUGGCGAAGGCGACUUACUGGCUCGGUACUGACGCGAGAUGCGAAAGCGUGGGGAGCAAACCGGAUUAGAUA
This 278-nucleotide ribosomal RNA is filed under the name uncultured bacterium. Its description in RNAcentral is "partial 16S ribosomal RNA". It matches the Rfam family "Bacterial small subunit ribosomal RNA", at positions 506 to 784 of the family's 1533-position model. The record is from RNAcentral.